GAACAUGGUUUGCGUCCUUUAAUACCCCACCCUAAUAACCCCUUAACUCCCGGGCAACCCCCACAUUUUUGUAGUCACGGCUUGUUCCGGAAUCUCAUAGAGGUGAUCAGGGGGGUUCUUCGGAGGGGUUCAGUAAAAAACCCGCGGACGCCCGUUUUUGACGGGGUGAGCCCGGGGUUGAGCAAUAAAAAACGGCCAUUUUCGUUUUUAAGCGCGGCCGCUGGGGUACGGUGUGGGUCGCGUGGCCCCCGAGGAUCUCCGGAUUAGAGCGGAAAAACACCCGCGACCGGGUGGUCGGUCGUAGAGAGAGGACAAUUGAGUGAAAACACCCGCGACCGGGUGGGUGUACGAGGGAGGAGAGAGAAAGGGAGGUGUGUGUGCCCGUGGCUUGAGGUGGCGAGGGCAGGGGCGGCGAACCGUGCGGAGUCGGAGCAGCUGCGGCCUCUGGACGAGCACGGGCUGCGGCUCCGCCGCCGGCUCCUCCGGUGGUGGAAGGCGCGGGCAGGAGGCGCGGCGCCCGCAGCGGCAGCGCCGGAGGUGCCGGCGACAGCUGGACACGACGACUCGAGGAGGAGGCGUAGAUCGGUGUGGGUUAGGCCAUGUUUCGGGGAUCGUCUCGUCUCAUCGUAGGUUAAGGUUGGGCUCGAACUCGAACCCGUCUCACACUCUUCGUUCGUCUCCUGCUACCCGUGCGGCUGCCGCUGACAUCGCCGAGACCGCGACGACGACGACGACACGCAGAGGUACAGGAGGAACAGGCCGACGAACCGCCGCGUCAUGUUCCACCCGCCCGACCUGCGCACCCCCUAGGGCGGCAGGUGGUUCGGCCUGCACAUGCACGCCACCCGGUUCAGGCAGGGGCAGUUCGAGCCGCUGCGGGAGAAGAAGGAGAUGGGCGGGUCGGUCCUGUCGCGGCAGGUCCAGUGGCGGUUCCGGAAGCGGCGGACGCUGCAGAGGCUGGGCGACGAGUUCGGAAGGCGCCUGCUGAGAUCGCCGAGACGGCUUAGGCGCUCCUGCUGCUCGACGCGGCCGAACCGGAGGAGCGGAUGACCGAGCGGAAAGAAGCAACGGGGCGCCGACGUCAGGUUCCCGCCGCUCGACGGAUGACGGCCUCGCGCACAAGCGCGAGGAGAGGCCGGGCGAGGGAACGCGACAGCGGAGGCCCGCCUACCGGCUGCUUCCGCGACGGCGUGACGCUGCCUUAGCGCCGCCGGCAACGACGAAGACAACCGCUGAGGUUACCCAAUGUCCGUCUCGCGCCGCUGUUCGUGUUCUACCGGCACCCGCGCCCGCGCGAGACCCCGCGUUGCUCACCUUUAAAAAGGCGAGGGUCAGUUAAAAAAAACGACCGUCGGGGGUUCACUGCUUUCUUUACGGAGGAUCCUUGCGUUGCCGACCUCUACGAGAAUCGUUUGUUAUGACCCUGUGCAGAAGCACCGGCACCGGCGCGUUUUUGGUGACCCGUAGCCGCGUGCUUGCGUCGUAGGAGGGGGUGGUGGUGGUGGAAGGGUUUCAGGUUUGAGGUUAGGGGAACGAGCGGUUUGGGGGUAAGGGGUUAUGUUAGGGAUGAGGGUGGCGCUAAAGGUUUACCAUUGCGGCUCGCGGAGGAAGAGGCGGCGCGAGCAUCAGCUCCUAAAGGGUAGCAACCUCUCCCUACUGUUCUACCUCUACGGUGGCCUGUUCGUGGCCCUCCACAAGCUGGAGCGUGUCACACCGCGGGCGCGGAAGGCCCUCGCGGCGAAGCUGCUCCGAUAAAGUAAAAUAAGAUUUCGAGUGUUAAACUCUAGUCCUCUAGGCUAAUAGGAAUCGUUAGCUUCAAGACGAAAGACAAACUAUUCAGUUCAAGACUCCCUCUCUAGUCGUCGGCUGAGUCUCAUGGUCGGUAACUUACCGGAACUAGGAUGUUGUGUACGUCUCAAUCGAGACUUCCUACGUCUCUUCCAUCAUUGAUGGGUGCCAUUAAGAGGAUCCGGUAUAGAAGAGUUCCGUAUGCGUGAAUAAGACGACCUCGCUAUAGUCCUCCGUGCACUCAGGGAAGACCGACCAGAAGUUCAACUAGGGGAGUCGGUAUAGGACGUUUGGACGGAGUCACUAGACCUAUCUUCAUGUUUACGACGUCGGUCUCGUUCUACGGGUUCCGAUCUAUCCUGACUACUAAAACUCACGUGUAACACAAAAUUUGAUAACAAACUUGGUCAAUGGUGAGGUACACCCGUGUGCAAGACAGCGAGAACAAAUGUAGUCCGUUACCUAGUGCCGUUAUUCACGGGGUACACAGCCUGUCAAGAAAAAUAACCAGGUUCUUGAAUAGGAUAUUCGCAUUGUAACUCGUUGUAUUAAGUCUUUUUAAAGGGACUUCUUAUACGACUCUCCUCCAGUCUUGUACUUUUAUACUGUAUACGUCCGUAACUAAACUACGGAGAGAAACAAUACCUACAGCAUAAUGGUACGGUUUUCUACCGUGACUUGUAUAAACUUGGAGCGAUGUCCGACUACCAUUCCUCUUAUUACCUUCCCUUAGUAGCCUACCCUUACCAACGAUAACUAAGACGCUGCCCUUGAUAUCGACUGACACCAACACUCCACCUUUAAGAACUCACGCUCGGUGAAGGUCUACCUGCAAAAAUAGAUCUCCACCUUCCAAGUGCUGCCAAAGCAUAGAACGCUAGGACCCUACUUCUACCCAUGGCACAACGACUUUAACUUACCAAGGUUCUACAAAGAAAUGGUCUUCCUAGUGUUCUCUCUUCUCUAGAUUAACUUUCCCGGUUACUCCGAAGUCUUGACCGAUCCCGCAUGUAAUCCGCAUGGUCUCUUUGGUAUUCCGGACACCCGGCCCGUUCUGUGAAACUAGAACUCUCGUAAGGACGUGGUGUCCUGGGACUCUUCAAGUCAAAAACCGAACAGUUGAACUAAUUAAACUCCGGUAGCCUAUUUGAUCUUGAUAAUGCGGAGACACUAUGAGCCCUCUCUUAUAGAGAAUCGGAAUCUAACGACCCGUUACGUCUUGUUCCAACGGCAGAUGUCAUUGCCUAAAUAUAAACCGAGUGUUGGUAACUGAUUGUUACAAGUAAACAUUAUAAGAAAAUAGUGUAUAAGACUACGAACACUUUAAGAAUACUAGAAAUAUAUACAAGAAUAUAAGAGAAUGGACGUCUUUUUUGAUAUAUUAAGAACAUG
Molecule: ribosomal RNA, 3180 nt
Filed under: Triticum aestivum (bread wheat)
Lineage: Eukaryota; Viridiplantae; Streptophyta; Magnoliopsida; Poales; Poaceae
Description: partial small subunit ribosomal RNA
Source: RNAcentral